CUUUUUUCUCCUUCCAAUACUAGUUUUCAUCAAUUAGUUCAGCAACCAUUGCAUGAGGAUCCAUUAUUGGUGGUGAGAAAGGCUCAAAAGUUUCAAGUCUUGGUAGCCAAUUGCUUUUGUAGAUGUACACUUGAUUUCCAGUGCCUAUUCUCUACUUUUGUCCUCUAUGCAAAAUUUGUCUUCCCUAUAGAACACUUCUCCAUACAAAGGAUGGAUUCGAUCACAAUUUUGUCUCCAUGAAAUUGGAAUGUUUAAAAUACUUUGCCUUCAAAAUUCUUGACAUUAUUGAUUCUGGAUGCCGAAUAAUUCUCCAUCCUUUUUUCGUAACUAAGGUUUGGUUGAAACUUAAAAAAAUCUCAAAAUCCGGACCUUCCUCUUGUCUCUGCAUGACAAAGUUUCUGCCAUUUGACCUAAUGAAUACUUCUACGAUCUACUUUUGACCUCCACCAAAAUCUAGCUAUAGUUUUUCGAAUGUUUUCACAAAUGCUUAGAUGAAGUUUGAACACACUCAUUGCAUUUGCUGAAACCGCUUGGGCCAUUGCCUUGGUAAGCACUUUCCUACCCCUACUUGAGAAUAGCUUACUUGGCCAAUUUGAGAGCUUGUUCAAAACUCUCAUUUUUAUAUGAUUCAAUAAGCUAACUUUUUUUCUUUCCACCAUAAAUGGUAAGCCAAGGUACUUGUCAUACUUUGAGAUUACAUUUAGUUGAAAAAUACCCUUGAUUGUAUCCAUCUGGCCAGCUUGUACAUUGCUACUGAAGAACAUGGAGGACUUUUCAAAACUAAAAAUCUAGCCCGAUGUCAAAGCAUAAUAGACAAAUAUGCUUUUUAGGUUUUUACAGGCUUCACUUGUUGCUCUUGUAAGCAUCAAGUUGUCAUUUGCUAACAGUAAAUGUGUAAUUGAUAGGUUGUUGUUAAACUUUAAGCUAUGCAUGAUCUGGUUUCUCUCAGCUUGCACAAGCAUGUUGGAUAAGGCUUCGGCACAUGAAAGAAAAAGAUACGGUGAUAAAGGGUAGCCUUAUCUCAAUCUCCUUUGAGGUUGAAUUUGACCCUUUGGCACCCCAUUGAUCAACACUGAAAAAGAGGUAAUAAAGAUGCAUUUCAUUGUUAAGUCAAUCCAAUUAGGAGAGAAGCCUAACUUCUGCACGGUGCACCUAAAAAAUUUCUAUUCUACCCAAUCAUAUGCUUUACUGAUGUCUAGUUUUAAAGCAAACAAACUUCUUUUGUUCUCCCAUCUCUGUCUUAUCUUAUUAAAACAUUCAUAACCAAUGAUUAUGUUGUCUGUAAUAAGUCCAUUUGGGAUAAAGCACUUUGGUUCGAGGAUAUAAUUUUAUCUAGGACGCGCUUCAACCUAUUAGCCAUUAUUUUUGUGAUAAUUCUAUAAAUAACAUUACAGAGCUUAUUGUUUGAAAUUCAUUCAUUGACCUAGGCUUCUUAAUUUUUGGAAUUAAAGUAAUAUAGUUGUGAUUGAGAGAUGUUAUGUUACCUUUCUCAUUAAAGACGUGCAAAUAAUAGGUGGUUAUCACUCUUUCUUUCACUUAAUUCUAAUGCUUUUGAAAGAAAACUAUAGGCAAGCCAUCUGGUCCAAGGCUUUUGUGGGACAUAUCUAAGCCAGUGCUUUUGGGACUUCUUUUUAAGUAAAUGUUGUAUCCAAUUAAUUGUUCAUCUCUCUAUUCACCUUAACUAGCAUAUCUCUAAGAACUACAUCCAUUUGACUUGUGGUAGGGUUUGUUGUUGUAAAGACAUAUGUGAAGUAUUCAUAAAAUAACCUCUCCACAUCACUGUUAUCCUUGGUCCACUUCCCAUUUUCAUCUAGUAUCCCUUAAAUUAUGUUCUUCUCAUUUUCAUCUACUGCCCCCUAAAUUAUGUUCUUCUCAUUUUCAUCUAGUGCCCCCUAAAUUAUGUUCUUCCCAUUUUCAUCUAGAAUCUCCUAAAUUUUGUUCUUUGUUUUCCUCAUUGAGGAUUGAGAAUGAAAGAAUUUUGUGUUUUUAUCCGCUUCUUUCAACUGAUCUGCUCUUGAUCUUUGUUUCCAAAAAAAUUCCUCAUCCAAAAGAAUAUUGUCAAUCUGCCUCUUUGUUUUCUUUAGUUCAUCUCCACAUUCAUAGUGGCUAAAAUCUUGUCUAAUCAUUUUGAGCUUGUUCUUAAGUUGUUCUAAUUGCUUUUGUCGACCUCCAAACUCCUCUUUACUCUACAAGUGAAAUUCUCCUAUUGACUCAUUGGCUUUCUUCUUAAAUAAAUCAACUGAAUUCUCUAUCUACUCUUUUCUUUCCAUUCUUGUUGAACUUUCUCUACAUCUCUUAUAUGCGCUACACAUAUCUUCAUAGCGUACUCUAUAAAAAGCUUUCAUUUUGUACCUUUGUCCCUUGUUUUUUUCCAACUUACUAAGGGGUUAAUCAUACAUCCCUUGAUAUUACUUAAUUGUAUGCAGGUGGCAAAAUACUAAUUACUUCUAUCUUGAAGGGUAAAAUUCAAAUCCUCCACCAGCACUCAUUCCUCUCUUAUAGAAUAACUUAAAAAAUAAAUAUCCCUUAAUUCCAAGUAAUGCUCAACAAAAUCCUAGAGUUCUAUUUUUAAUUAUAUAGUUUAACAGAACCUUGAUCUCUUCUUUAUUGAUGUGAGUAGAGUUUGAACUCAUGAUCUCUUAUUUUCACGUAAGAAAUUUCACCGUGUCAAUUAGAUGACACCACAUCAACCAAGGAGUGAGUGUAAAAAAAGUGGAAAAAUUUUGUCUAUUAAUUGAUGUAUUUUCAUUUGAGUUUUGCUAUUUACCCCGAGUCAAACCCCAAAGCCAUUAAACGACGCCGUUUCAAUUCUUUUUUUUUUUCCUUUCAUUUUCACUAAAACGACGUCGUUUUAGCUUGGUUAAGGUAGCAACGACUGCCCCAAAUUGCUCAAUUGGAUCAGUUCAUACUUCAUAAUGCAGGAAAACUAUAAAAGAAUUCUUCAACAAGAAAAAAGCUCAAAUGAUUUAAAAAUUUCUGCAUCCUUCUGGGUUUCUUAAACCUCUCCGACAAACUCAAAAAUCAUAAAGGAAAAUCAGACAAAGUUAAAUAAAAAAUAUGUUGAAGAACUUCACAAAAUUUACAGGUUCUGCUUUGACCACUGUGAUUGUUCUUGCUUCUAAGAAUAAUGAUACUACAUUUUGAUUAUAGUUGUUGUACUAUGCUUCCAGAAAUUAUUUGUCCAUAAGUUUCACUUAUGAUCUGCUUGGGGAUUUCAGAUAGUUCUCUUAGCCCAAGCUCUUUUUGUAUAGAGUGAGAAAAACUUAGAUAAAAUACACAUGUAAUAUUGAUAUCUUAUUAAACUGCUAACUAGGUUUUCAUGCAAGUAUCAUUUACCAAUGACAAUGAUACUAGUUGUGAAACGAAGGGGAAGAAAGUAGUGGUUUUACAUAGAAAUAGAAGGAGAAUAGCUGUGGUGAGAGUAAGACGAAGAGGAGAGAAAACAAUUUGGGGUAACGAGCAAUUCGGGGCUGUCGUUGCUGAAUGAAAGCCAAAAAAAAGUAAUGGUUUGAAACGGCGUCGCUUAUGGGCUUCGGGGUUUGACUCGGGUAAACAACAUUUUCGUAAAUGAUAACUAUCCAUAGACAAAAGUGCCGGUGAGUCAAAAGAAUUUGAAAGUGCUUUGAAGUAAAACUGACACAGGGUUUUAGUAAACGAAAAUGGCAGGGAUGAUGUCUUCUUCUCUUCGCAGGUCAAUCGCUCCCACCAAUAGUCUCUCUUUAUUGCGAAAACCCCAUCUCCUCCUUCAAAGCUUCUACUCAUCAAAAUCAUCGCCCGCCUUCUCUUCAUCACCAGAAACCCUCAACGACGAAAACGACGCCGUUCCCACUUCCGGCAUAAGCCGUCCUUUGUCCGAGAUUCUCAAAGAACUCAACAAAAACGUCCCAAAUUCACUCAUUAAAAUCCGAGUUGAAGAUGGGUUUUCGAUGAAGUAUAUACCUUGGUAAAUCACAUAAUCUCAACCGUCCACCCCCAUCAAUGUUCCAAUUUUUAUUUUUUAAAUUUUUUUUUCAACUUUUAUUUUGCAGGCAUAUUGUGAAUCGGAUUAUGAACUUGCAUGCUCCUGGUGAGUAAAUUGUUCUUUAAAUUUCUUACUUUUAUUUAAAUGGAAAAGAAAAGUUAGAUUUUGAAGUAAAAUGAAUAUGAUGAUGUGUUUAUUACAGAAUGGUCUGGUGAAGUUCGAAACAUUACUUAUUCUGCUGAUGGAAAGACUGUGUCUGUUGUGUAUCGUGUUACGAUUUAUGGGACUGAUGCUGAGGUAACUUCUAAUUCUGUAAACAUUUUGUUGCUAAUUGAGAACAUGUUAAAGAGUAGUUUGGGUAGCAAGUUGAAUUUAAUCGGUGAAACAAAUAUUGUCUAGCCUUUUAUGCGUGGUUUUUGUGGUUUAUGAUACUUUGCUGUUUACGGUUUUCAUUAUUAUACAUAUUAUAUGUCUUUGUGUGCCCUGUCCGAGGCUUGAAGAUUUUCUAGGAUUUUACCGAAUCAAAAUUGGACUUUUAAGAUAUUAAAAAAAUAGUCUACAAAGGUCACAGUUGUCAAGAACCUGCAAUAAGUUGAAAGUUAUGAAUUUAUUCGUAUUACAAUAUUUUGAUUUAGUUUGCUAGUUGUAUACCUUUGGAAAGCUUUGUGAGUUAGAAGAACAAUGAAUUUUACUGUGGUCAAUUUUGAGUUCUCUACAUAAAGAUAUAGCUAAAUGAAUAUAAAUUGUCCAGAAGUACUAUAACAACUAAUUAAGAAGCAAAAUAUAUUUUUGCUUCUUUCUUUCAGCUACUUUAGAGCUAGGGGCACAAUUUGAGUUGAUUUGAGUUCUUAAAUGAUAAAGAUUAUAUCUUGGGCUUGGAAGGAUGUUCUAAGGUUAUUUGUAUGAUGAUAUGAGGUAGAAACUUUAGAUUGUAAUUUGAGAAGAGUUCUCUUAUUAAGAGUUUCUUCAUUUAAUUAUAUAUCUCUUAGGUGAAUUUCUUAAAGGGAUGAGUUAGGAAACCAUAUAUAUCUCUUGUAGAGUUCUUUGAGUAAGGAGCUUUUCAAGGAAGCCAUGUUUCUCUUGUAAGAUUCCUUGGGUCCAGAGUGUUCAUAAUCUAGGACUCUCUCAAUUGAGUGAAGCCAAUCUAGAAAUUUGUUUGUAUCCUUCCUCCAAAUUCUGAAAUAUCGACCUUGAUAUCAAAGGAUCGCUAUGUUUGUUGUGCCUUUGAUUUUGGGAACGAGUAGUGGAGCCACUUGUAGAGUGUUGAUCAUUUUGAAAAGGGUUUGAAACCAUAUCCAUUAUCGUUUGAAGAAGGAACAGCCUUGAGUUGCUUCAAGUUGUUGGGACGUUAAUAGUUGUUGCAUUUGUCUUCUUAGAUUUCUUUUUCAUCAUAGGGCUUUUUCACCACUAUAAGGAAUCUACCUAAGAGAUACAAAGUUAAAAUGUAGAAAACCUUAAUAAGAGAACUAAUUUAUAUAUAUAUAUCCCUCCAACCAUAUCAUUUUUAUCCUUUAGGAACUCAAUUCAAACUCAAAUUUGUGCCAUUAGUUGUAGAGUAGCUAGAAGAAAGAGCAAAAACAAGUCAGUUUGUACAAAUUAUUUUGCUUCUUAGUUAGUUGCUAUAGUAUUUUUGAACAGUUUAUAUUCAUUCAAUUAUAUUUUUAUGUAGAGAACUCCAAAGUGACCACCAUAAAAUUCAUUAAAUCGAAAUGUUGUAAUAGUAAAUUUAAAACUUUCAGCUUGAUAUAGGUUCUUGAUAGCUGUGACUUUUGUAGACUAUUUCUUGAAUAUCUUUAAAAAGGGAAGGCCAAACUUAAUUCUGUAAAUCCCAAAAAACUAGGCACAUUUAUCUAUCCAACCAUAUACAGUAUGUAAUGUAGCACAUUCUAGAUGAGUUUAGUUAAUUCAUGCUAGUUGACUGAUAAUCUUAGACUUGGUUGCCUUUGUUGACUAGCUCAUCCCAGUAUUUCCAUACAAUUUUAUUGUCGAUUUUCAAACUUAGAAAUCUGAAAACACUUUUGUGUUAUCAAGUCAGUUUUCAUUGCUUCUACUCCUGUAAUUUUCAUGUUAUCUUUUCCCCGUUUCAUAUUUUUCCACUUUGCGCAAAUUACCUUUUUUUUUUUGGGGGGGGGGGUUGGAGAAUCCGUUAUUCUAUAGAGGACAUAACUAAACCAUCUUAUGUAAGCUUCCCUUAUCUUGGUAAGUUUCACUUUUUUGCUUAGGAAGGACAUUUAUUUCUAGUACUUGAUCGUAUUCACACACAUCCAUUUUAGUGCUUCAUUUGACCUGCGUGCAAAUGUUGAAAGUGGUUUUUUUGACCGUCCAAUACCCUAUUAUGGCAUAUGACACGCGGCCAACUUCAUAAACAUUUUACAAAAUGUCCCUAACAACUAAAUGGAUAUUGUAUGGUCAUGUAAUACUCUGUCCACACUCCUCCAUGUAAGAUUGGCUGCUAAUUCUGCUAGUUCUUAGUGAAACUGAAGCGUCGGAGGUUCUGGUCUGAUGUUUGUAAAUCCACCUUCUAUUCAUGCAUUCAUGUAAUCUAUGGCACCGUGGACUCCAAGAACAUGUGUUUUUGCAUUUGCACCCUCAAAUGCAGUAGCAUUUGUUUGUGGAGAUGCUUUAGAAGAGUGGAUGAGUAGUUAUCUUGAAUAGUGAGACCGAGGAAGAGUGUGAAUUAUUAGGAUGCCUGCAACCUGUGCGGUGAUGUGAGCUCUAGAGUUCUUGUCUUUGGUUGGAAUUUUGUAAACUCAGUGAAAUGCAAAUUAUACUUAUGUGAGCCGAAUGGAGGACUAAUUUUGACACAAAUUUUAAUUAAUUGUAUUGAGAAGUUAGCAUCCUAAAAAUCUUUUGGGCUUUUCUAAGAUGGUCUUCAAGCUGCUGAUAUAGAGUUGGCAGCUAAAUGGUUGACUUUCAGAUCUAAAUGCCUCUAAAGUUAGGAUGUUAAACCACUCAACUAACCAGUAGUAGCCUUUUUGCUACUAGUGAGCCUGGCUUGCCCCUACGAGCUACAAUGAUUGGCUUUUAGAUAUGGAAUGAUACUUGGCUAUUGCAUUGAUUUUGUGAAUAUGAGUUAGGAGCUUGGCAUGUAUAACAGAAUCUGCUGUAGAGGUGCAUUGCUACGAUUGGAAGGAGGAGCAUUGUUUCACUAGUGGUUAGGUGAGAUAAAGAUUGAGUGUAGUAGAGUAACGGGAAAUGGUUCUAACUAAAUUAUUUUCCAUGAAAUUAUUUUAUCUUCUUUACAAUGGCAAGAGUACUUGCCCAAAAGCAGAUGGUUAUAAAAUUUUAUAGACAAUAGCUUGCGAUAAAUAUAAUCAAGAAUUAACUUACUUAAAUGCCAUUUUUUUCGUUUAUUUUGCUCCACAAGAUAUUUAGGGAGUCAACAGGAACUGCUUUAGUGGAUGAACAAGGUUAUGGAGAUGCUGUACAAAAGGCAGAAGCUAUGGCAUUUCGCCGAGCUUGUGCACGUUUUGGCCUCGGGCUUCAUCUCUACCAUGAAGAUUUAUUGUAAGCUGACAUGGAGCUUCUAUAUGGUAAAAUGGUAGGACAAAAUAUUUUGAUGGGGCUCAGAUCAUUUUUGUUAUCGUUAUUGAUUGUGCCCGAGCAUCUUAGAUUUCUUGUGAAUUGGAAGAAAAAUUUGGAUGCUUGUAAGAACAAUUAUCUUUGAAGAAUCACUUAAUUUGUGUGAAGCCGGUCUUUUGAGGUAAUGUUAAUUCAAGAGCAUGAGUAUGAUGAGUCUAGAUGGGAUUCAAAGUUCCAAUUUUAAUUAAGUGAUAUUAGUGGUAAUUAUGGUUUGCGAUAGUCAUUAUUUUUAUGACUUUUUUUUUUUUUGGUAUUUUUGCUUUGCAAAACUAUAAAUAAAUGAACAAAGAUGGUAUAUCUUACAAAUAGUUAUCUAGAUAUAUACAAAAUUCAACUCGUUAAAAAGUUUGCAAUUGAUGUAACAUAUAAAUUUUUAUUUUAUGGUUUUAUUUAUAAAAACUUUAUGAAGACACUAUUAAAUCUUCAGAAUUUUGGAAUUAAUUCUUGGAUAAAUUGACUUCCAUCAUUUGUUUGGUCCUCUCAAUUCGGUGGCCCAAUACUAUUUUGAGGAUUCCAAACACUCUCAUCACCGGUCCUCCUAAUCGUGUGGCCCAAUUCUAAUUUGAGUUACAUAAGAAAUGCAAGCAACCUUCGGUUGUGUAAUCGAUCGGAAUUCGGGACGUAUUUUUUAUGUUGAUUUAUUAUUUGGUACAGAAUUCGAUGAUACAUUUCAAUGCCAAUUGUAUGAUCGGAAUCGAAUCGUUUUGUUGCCAUCCCGAAUAGACCCACCUUAGAUUACAUUUAAUUGGUCCAAUUUAAAGAUUACAAAAUUUAUCUUUUUCCUAAUAAAAUGAGUGAGUUUAGAUUUUAAUAAAAAAAAUCAAAAUUCAACUUUAGAAUAUGAAAAAAAAAAAAUCUCCACCCAACUGAAUCAACAUUUAUUAAGUCAAAUCUCCAAACGAUAGGCCAAUUGAUUUGCCGCAGUGGAAGCAAAAUUCAAAUUUCAAAGGUAUAUGUUUUAUUUAGGAUAAGGAUUGGGAGUAAUAAAUGGUAACUAAUAAAACUUGUAUCAAUAAAAUCGUCAAUAAAAGUUAUAAGGUCUUGUAAUGAAGGAAAAGGAUCCUGAUAUGAUCUCUUAUGAGUUUUUUGAGAUCUUCUGUCAUGUGUCUUUUAGUGAUAAUAUAUAGAUAAGAUUCAACUUCUUUUUAUUUAUUUAUUAACUAUCAAUCAGUAAUUAAAUUAUUUGCUCAGGACAUGAUCAGAUCAGGAGAGAAUCUUGAUCCUGUAAUGAAAACUCCAUCUAAGAUAAUUUUAUUUUGGGAGUGAAAGUGUAAAAUAUUACAAGUGGCUAUUAACAACUACUUAAUUGAAUUAGUUGACACUUUAUCUUAACAUGGUUAAAGUAAGAGGGAUUACCCUUCACGUAGCUGUGUAAAAAUCUAUUUUGACUUUUAGUAUUAUACAUCUAUUUAUACUAUACAUAUAUUAAAAAAAAAAUCUCCAAGGAUGUAGUUGAGUGAUUUUUAAGUAAUUUUAUUUGGUUUGUCCUCCGAAUUCGAAUCUUGAGAGAGGUAAGGGCUUAAAAAUGAAAUUUAAUUUUACUAACCUAAUUACAUUGAAUUUUAAAGUGUGGAAACGUAUGAGAAAACAUAUAAACCGUACGGUUUAAGCGCUUUAAGUUUUAAACCUUCAAAACCCGACGGUUUUAAAGUUUUUUUAGACGUUUCCUAUACUUUGUGGUCCCAGACCAGAAAACUUCUAUAUAUAUACACACACUAUCUCACCAUACUUAUCAAAUCUUUAAAUUAACUAAUUAUGCCAAUGAAAUUUCAAAUUAAUUGAACCAAAAGUAAUAAUCAUAUAAAGAAAACACCUAAAUUAAUAAUCUUGGAUUUUUUAAAAAAAGAAAUAAUAAUGAAAAUGAAAAUUAUGUUUUGGGACACAGCAACAGAAGGGGGAGGUGGCUGGUCAGGCAGACGCAUGUGAGUGAAACUGAAUUGGCAGUGGGCCCCACACAGCGUGAGUCGCUUUCUUUACCAUCUGCAGUCAAACAAGUUGGAGACAGCUGCCAGAUAAGAAGCAGCAAGCAGUAAUCGACUUUUGCUUUUCGUUUUUGGUUUUGAUCCACCACACUUCACGAGUAUGUACAUCCUCUUCAGAACUUUCCUCAUUCUCAACCGUCCGAUCUUCAUCGUCCGAUAGUUGCUAAUGUCACUAUCAAAUGCCUAAUUUUGAUUUUUUUUACUAUUUUAAACCUCUCGGUUCGUAUCGUAUGAUUGAAGGGAGUUUCUGGUGGGCCUAUAAAAGGGGCCCAAUAGAUUUUUCUAAAUUCUAAUUAUUCCAAAUUUGCCCUUCCUUCAUACCUCAAGUUUCAUCAUUGCCAUUCCGUUCCCUCCCAACCAACGGUGUUACUUUCUUGACAGCAUGUACCAUAAACUAAAUGUCAUUGCCCUAAACUUACUCGUCAAUGGUGUUUAACAAGUUAUUAGUAAUUAUGGGUGCUUUUUUCUUAACAGCCCAUCGCAUUAUGCUACAUAUCCAUAAUAUUUAAGACAUAUCUCCCUUCAAGACAAUAUAGAGAAGGGUAAAAGCUCGUUUAAUCUACAUAUUUUGAAGUUAAUGUUUAUUUAGUUCAUGUAUUAUUGAAAAUGCCUUAAAACAUUCUUGUUAUUAAAUUAUUGACACUUCUGCCAUUAUUUUUUUUUUAUUUUAGCUUCAUUGUACAAUAUUACCAUUUUACAAUAAUGUUUCUAUUUUUUUACAUUAAUAAAGAAAAUUAAAUUAUCAUUUUAACCCCAAAAUAAAAUAGAAAAAAAUAUAUUAAAUUUUUUUGGAACACUCCGUUGAGGAGUUAAUAUCUUAAUUUUCUAUUAAUCUCCAAAAAAAUUGGUAAUUUAAUUUUUUUUACACUAUUAAUUUUUUUUAGACAUACAUGAGCUUCCACCAAAAUUAAUAUAUGUUAUUUUUAUUUUUAUUAUAUAUAUGGGGUUAAAUUAGUAUUUUAUUUAUUAAUUUCUAAAAAACAAACAUUAUUAUAAGAAGCUAAUAUUGUAAAAUCAAGUCAAAAUAAAUAAAAAGUAAUGACAAAGAUAUCAAUAGUUUAAAUAUAGUGAUGUUUUUAGUUAUUUUUAUAAAUACAAGGAGUAUACAAGCAUUAACCUUAUAAUACAGGGGCUAAACGAACUUUUACCCUAUGGAGAAAAACAUUCAUGUGCACAUACUUAACAAAUGUGUUACUCACUUAAAACACCUUUCAUUAUAGCCAUUACAAUUAUUUUACAACUCAGAUGGUCUAAAAGAUUAGUAAGUUAGUUGUUUCAUAUAUAAUUUUUUUUUUUUUUUGGAAAUAUCUCUAUUCACAAUCGUCAUGAGCUAAGAUUCAUUCUGUCAUUAAUUAUACAUCAAGUUUUUUACGAUGUAUUCUAUAGAAAAUUGUAGAAUAUUCCUUUAACUUCUCUAUCUCAAUUUUUCUCUGAUCAAAUGUUUACUUGAGCAUUAGAGUAUUUUCUACAGGUACUACAUUUAAGAGUUCAAUAGUAGCAAAAAGUGUGAGAAGAUUUAGCAAGAGAAAAGAACGGGCAUCAAAUGAUCCUGGAUCUAACAAUAAUGCUUUCAAUUCUUUUCCAUCCAGCAAAGAUUUGGAUAUUACGUUAAUUUAUGUAUCACUGAAAGGUUGCUGGUGAGAAGUCUAAUAAGCUCAACACACAAAAACCUUAGAACAUCAAGAUCUAAUAGGAAAAAAAGGGAACAUAAUUGGUGGAUACUAAUUGCUUCGUUUGAUAUGCUUUGACAUUUAUGGAUUCUGCUUAAAUUAUAAGUAACAUCUUGGAUUUCAAAUGAAAAAAAAAAAAGAGAGAGUAUAUUUUAAGAUGAACAAACACACCCAUUUUCUUCUUUCAACAUAUUUUUUUUCUCUCUCUCUCUCUCUCUCUUAUUUUCUCAGUUUCCAAACUAAUUUGAGUGCUGGAUUGCCGUUGUAGGUACUACCACUACUGCGACGGUGCAUAGACAAGUUAAACAUUUCCCAGCAUUCGGAGGUAAUAAACACCUUCGACAAGAAAGUUUCUCAAAUUAGGUUUGCUUAUAUUGAGGUAAUUAAAGUUCAAUACUGACAAAAGAAGUCUGAAUACUUGUAAAGGAAUAUAUAGAACCAACCCUCUUUGUAGGCAGCUAGGCAGAGAAAUUAAUGCAAGUAAAGAAUUGCAACUAUGCAAAUGCUGUAAAUAAUGGUAUUGUUAAACGUUUACAACGAUAAAUUCAUUACAAGACAUAAGCAAAUGAGAUCGGAGAGCUCACCGUCUAACUAUAUAUUAAAGAAACGUACCAAAACAACAAUAAUUGUACAAUCAAUCUCAAAUUAAAACAAAUAACAAAACCAAUAUCAAACCAAUACAGCCAUGCAACCAUCAGAUACUUGUCAAAACUGAUCCCACAAACAAGACCAUCGCCAAACUCAAAACACAAUAGCAAAUCUACACAAGAUUAUAGAGAGAGUGGAGGGAAAAUUGAAAUCUUAUUCAUGGUGAAAUCAAAUUAUUUGAAACAGAGUUUUGUAUUCAUGGCUCAUAAAAUAAUUGCUUUAUUUUUUUUAAAAUGAAAUCUAUGGGACUCAACCAUAUGGACAUAUAGACUUAGAUGUAUGCAAAUGAUACAAAGAUGGACCUUAGUAGAAUUGCAAUCCACAUGUCGCCAUCAAUUAAAAUGGAUAGUUGUGCAAAUUAAUCACAUUUAUAGUUAUUGAAAGGUUAAUUAGCUUAGGCUCGACUUAACUUGGGCGAUUCUGAGACUCAUUCCAACAACCAGACAGUUAAGAUCAUUUCGAUCAGCAUGCGCUACAGAAAGGAUAAAAUAUUAAAUUUGAUUAUUUUAAUUAAGUGGUGCAAGAAAAUUCAGAUGAUAUGUGCCAAUCAACAUGUCUAAUGGCCUUAUGAUUAUCUAAUUUUUCAAUACAAUAUUGGACAUGAUAUAUAAAUGUUUUAGUUUGAGAUCACUUAUUCUUAUUCUCUAUCCAUGUGAUACCUCAAUACAGUUUUCAAAGAUACAAUUGCAGUUGGUAGCUUCUUUUGUGACCAGAUAAUAGGUCAACUUCUACAUAUUUUUAAUUAAUAUUAGAAGUUUAAUAUCUAAUAUGUAUUUGGAUAUAUACAAUAAGACAAUUUUGUAUGACAAAUUUUUCUUUUCUUUAUUCAAUCUAUUUUUUUUUAAAAUGUAGUUGGAUGAAGGGGAGAAAUCUCACCUAUUAAAUACUAAUCCUUACAUCCAAUUUUUAUUCAAGCUUGAGUGAUUUCAGUUCAAAAUUCCUUCAUGACCAAAAGGGGUAACUUCAGCACUAGGCUAACUAGGUGUUCGUCUAAGGCAUUAUUUUGACAUUUAUUUAAUUAAUAUGCUAACGAACAAUUAUUCUUUUUAGAUUUCAAAUAUUUUAUUUAAGUUACGUAUAUAAGAAAGCCUAAUUUUUAGAUAUUUCUUUAUUAUUACUCCCAUUCAUAAUUAUCUAAAAAUUAAGAUUUGUUUUCUUAAUAAAAAUUCUAUAUUUAAUAAUUUUCACCUUAAAAAUAAGAUUUAUUUUUCUGUAAAAAUUUCAUAUUUGAUAAUCUUCACAUAUACUAGAAUUACUGGUUUUACCAGUUAAUUAUUUACUCUAUUAAAACUGACUUUUAGUAGUCCUUAAUUUAAACUCUAUUAAAAACUUCAAAAUGAAUAGAUAUCGAAUCAACAAUAAUCUCAGCAAAAAUAUUUCUUGCUCUCUUCCCUAAAAUGAAAUUAUUCUAUUAACUUUCCUGGUGCUAAUGUUCUAAAAUAUAUUUGAACUUAUUAUUGUCCUUCUUUAAAUAAAUUUAAUUUUUUAUUUUUUAUAUUGAUACAUGGCUUGUAUAAUCUAAAAAAAAUAAUUAAAUUUUAGUAAUUUUUUGUUUCGAGUUACUGUUGUUGAAUGUAGCAAGGCUUUAAAAAAAAAAAAAAAAAAAAAAAAAACAUCGUUUGAGCCCCAAAUCCCUUUGAGCCAGCCCUGAUGACCAAUUAGCUACACCCUGGACUAAAGCCAUCCAGUCUAUUUUCUAACAGCUAUACAUUUGUACAUACUUUUGUUAUUAUUCUGCACAUUAGAGUUGACGAGAAGCUUAAAAAUAAGAACAACUUUUUUCUCGCUUAUUAUGUUUUAUUUUUAAAACUCAUUUUAAUUCGUAAGUAUUUUUAAAUUUGUAUAAAGAUAAUGUUAUAAAGAGUAAGAUGUAUUAUGUCUUCCCCGAUGACUAAAUACAUUUUUGUUCUAAUACAAAAAAAAAAAAAAAAAUCUUUUUGAUCAUGUCAUUGAAACUUUUCUAUUAAAAAAAAAGGAACAAAAUGAAAGACAAUAAUAAUUUCGAAGAAGCAGAAGCCCAAAUUUGACUUUGAUGUGUCGUUGCAGCUGGUUUUUUUUUUUUUUUUUUUUAAUUUUUUCUCAAACCCUUUCGGCAAAAGCCAAUUUUAGCGAGCCACGUUAGUGGCUUUGCUUUUUAAUUUCUAAAUUGAAUUGGUAAUGGCUGCUUCAUAAGUUUGUUUCUUCUCUCAUGAGUCCAAUUAUUCUUCUUGAAUCAUUAUUUAUCGUAUUGUUUUCGCUCUACUGCUGAAAAAUAUUAGGAUUAAGUUCUCGGAAGAUUUUUUUUUUUUUGGGUCAAUUCAAUUGGAGUCAUAUUUAUUUACUAUAUUAUAAAUAGGGAAGUGGUUAAUAUUAAUUUUUAAGGUAACUUUUUAUUAUUAUCAAUGCAUUGAAGGAAACAAAACGAUGGAAUGCUUACCCAAGAAAAUGAAUCUUUAGUAUAGAAUUUUGCUCCAAUUAAGAUUAGAAUAAAGUUUUGAUUUAUUUUUAAUAGUCUAAUAGUAACUCAAUUCUCUCUCUACGAUCAAUGUGAGUGGGAAUCCAAAUCUCUUGUUUUCAUAGAAGAGAUUUAAUCAACUGAAUUAGACGGUACUCAAAGGAUAAGAUUUGAUUUAUAGAUUCAUAGUAUAAAAAUGAAAGUCCAAACGAAAAUAAUUUUAUAACUUUGCAGGGUACAAACAUAAUAAUUACUUUUGAUAAUAAAAUUGGAAAAAGACAACUAACCCAAUACUCUAUUGAUUAAGACAAUUCUCACCACAAUAAUUUAUUUAUUUAUUUAUUUAAAAAUAAAGAAUGAAACAAAACAGAAAAUGCGAAAGAUAUUAGGGAUAAGAGAUACAGAGAAUCAUCAACUUUACAUAUAAGCAAUUCGAUCGUUGACCGUUGACCUCCCGCGUGAUUUCAUCCCCUCAUUAGUAGUUUCCCUCCGUUUUCAUAAUUUUUCCGUGCCGUUUUUGCCACUACGGACCUUUGCCCCAGGCAGCCUAAUUUCGAAUGGUAAUUUCGUAAUUAUUGCAACAAUACUUGCCCUAGUUUGUCAUUCUGAAUGUGGCCUUAAAAUAAUAGAAAGUACAGCGACGACAAACAUGAUAAUACGUCAGAAACCACUCCCACGCUCACUUCGCCGCGGUGCAGAUUCAAAAUUGGAAAGGGAUAAUCUCAUGGAGUACCCUUAAUAUUUGUUAAAAUUUCUAAGCGGAGAAGAGUGAAAAUAUGUAAUGAAAGCCCCUAUUCAUCCAAUUAGUUAAUGUCGUUGACUGAAUAAUUUUUAUAAAUUUAAAAUCAUUAAAUAGUUAACAUUUUUCUUAUAUUUAUUGGUGGUAAGAGAUCUUAAUGCUCAUUUAAUAUAUAUUUCUUAACUGAUUAAAAUCUUUUUUCUAAUGUCAAAAAUUCUUAUUUUUUUUAGUUGCCAUAUAUAUUAUGUUCGCUAUAUAACCAAUUAUUAAAUGAUCUAUAAUCUAUCUUUAAAAAAUCCUUAUUUGUGAAAAUUCUAUGUGUAAAAUCUUUAUUUCUAAGAAAAAUGAUAUUAAACGAAUCUAAUUUAUUUUUUAAAAGAAUAUAUUGGUGGAAUGAGAAAUUUUUCACCCACUGAACACCGACCAUUUCUCCUUAUAUAUUAAUUUAGAAUUGGGAUAAGAAUAUGUGUAAAUCCAAUACACUCUACUUGUUACUCCUUAUUAUUUAUAAUUGAGGUAACAACAAGUAUAAAACUCGUUUAUGAUCAGGCAAUCAAGCUACGUGUAACAUCAUACCAAACAGAUCUCUAUUAAAUAUUUUUACUCUUUUUAUGUGUUUGAUAUUUUGAUAAACCUUUGGGCAUUUAAGAAAACUUUCCUAGAAAGGAAAAGACAAUAGCAUAUAUAUAUAUAUAUAUAUAGUAAUAAUAAGACGUCAUAAAGGCGCGUGAAAGAAUGAAUUGAUGAGGUGGGGGCAAGUUGUGUAUAUAAUUCAUGUCCGUAUUAUGAGUUGGUCUUUGCUUUGCUUUGCUUUGCUUUUUUAUUUUUACAACUUUUGCUUUCUCUUCUCUUCAUUCAAUUCCCUCCCAUUUCUCUUUCUCUCUUAACCUAAUUAUCUCUCUCUCUCUCUUUUGAGUUUUGAUCACAAACCGCAAACAGUUUCCAUCAUCAAGUGGGUCUUUUGUUUACAUCUCUAAUACUAUAGAUCCAAUAUUGAUCUAUACUUGGACAACAAGGCCCCUAUAUCUAGCUAGCUAGCCCUAAUAAUCCCACCAAAAUAUAUAUAUCCCAUUUUUUUCUCUGUUCAGCUGAUUUUUUUUUUCUUUCAUUAGAGAAGAUCAGUAAAUAUAUAUCAUCAAGCUAGCAAGAGCAACAAAAGAAGAAGAGAAGAUGAUGACUCCAGUUUCAGCACAAGCAGCGGCAGCAGGAGCAGGUCAGUUUGGUGACACGACAUACACAAAAGUAUUUGUAGGAGGCUUGGCAUGGGAGACUCAGAAGGAGACCAUGGAGAAGUAUUUUGAGCAGUUUGGUGAGAUCUUGGAAGCAGUUGUUAUCACUGAUAAGGCCACUGGCAGAUCCAAAGGAUAUGGAUUCGUAUGUUAAUUAGCAGCUGCUUCAUCUUCUGAAUUUCUUUACUCUCGUCACACUGGUUUACAUGCAUGAUGAUCCUUGUUUUGAUCACUAGAUCUUGAUUCUAAUGAAAGAUCUCGACAACUUUUUUUGAAAAAAAAAAAUUAUAUGACGCGAGAACAUAUUAGUUCUGUGUUAUUUUAUGUAUGUAUGCAUGUGUGUAUAAACGUAUGUAAAUGUGUAUAUAAAUGUGUUUGUUGCCAUUUUAGGUGACUUUCCGCGAACCGGAAGCCGCCAUGAAAGCCUGUGUUGAUGCAGCUCCGGUGAUAGAUGGAAGGAGGGCUAAUUGCAAUCUUGCUUGUUUGGGAGUUCAGAGAUCGAAGCCCUCAACACCAAAACAUGGUAAAAUUAAUAACUCGUUUUUCUUUUCUUUUUUUUGUUUCAUUUUUUUGAUGACAUAUUCAAAAUGAAGAUAGGGUUUUGAUUGAUAUAUCAGAUCUCGUAAAAGUUUCAUGAAAUCUUUCAAGUCUUUCAUUAAGUCACUGUUGGAUAUUCGCUGCUGGCUCUAGUUAAUUCUAUUCCAAUUAAUCUUCUACAAAUUUUGUAUUUUAAAAACAAAAAAAAAAAAAUUUUUGUGGGUUCAAAAGUACUCUCUUAUCAGCAGAACACAAUUUCAAAGUCAAAUCCAGCCCUUGAAUAUUCCUCCAAAUUUAGAAAGUUUUUAUGUUUUAUCAGCCUUAUUGUACAAACAUUCUUUCAGUUUCAGCAAACAAAAACAGCAGUCUGCAUUCUGCAAUAUACAUAAGAAGCAUUCAUAACACACACACACACACACACACACACACACAGAGAGAUAUAUCUUUUUUUCUUUUUUCUUUUCAAAUAGAUUUUAUUAAUUGAUUUAGAUGAAAGAAUGAGAUAGUAAUUAAAAAUGGUUAAUUUGGUGGGGGCAGGAGGAGGAGGAAGAAACAACUUGAGGUUAAUGAGUACUUUUCAGAACGGUGGAUUUGGAGGGACAACUUUUCCUUCAACUGCCGCUGCAACCUUCCCUCAUUAUGCCAUCCAACAAGGCAUUCCUUUUAAUCUCUAUGGGUAUAUUAUUUUUUUUUUCUUUUUAUAGAUUUCUUUUUUCUCACUCUCUCUCUCUCUCUCUCUCUUCUCCUUGUGCAUGUGUGUAUGAGAAGCUGCCUGCAUGCACGUGCAUUGCCAACUCACGAUGCACACUCAACUUCAACCCCAUUAAAACUUUAGGGUUUAAUGCCAACUCAAUAAGCACGCUCAUUCAUCAUCAUCAUUAUGAUCAUCAUCAUCAUCAUCAUCUCUCUCUCUCUCUCUCUCUCUCUUGUUGUCUUUUAUCAUCAUGGGAAUCACUAUCCAUGUUUUUUCUUACUUUUAAGCAUCAAUCAUGGACUCUCUCUAUCUCUUUCUUUCAUGUGUUAACAAAAACGAAGGCAUGCUCUUUCACCCAAAAAAAAAAAAAACGAAGGCAUGCAUAAUUGAAUGUGAAUAAUUAAUGCGGAAAUCAUGCAUGUGCAUAGUGCAUUGCGACAUUGGCGUGUGCUUUCUCUAAUUCAUUUCUUGUUACACAAUCUCAAAGCUUUUCUCAUUAUUUCAGGUACUCACCAUACUCAGCAGAUUACACUUAUCCUACGGUUUGCACAACCUUCCUUUUCCUUUUACCUUUAUUUUUGUACAAUAAGUGUACUUAAAUUCCAACAGCUCUUUUACAAAUAUUUAAAAAUAAAAAUAAAAAUCCAUCAAUAAUGACCACUCACCAACAACUGUUGACAUUUAAAGCUGCCAUGAGGAUGAGGUUGACUUGUUACCAAAUUUGUUGGAACAAGGUUUCCUUUAUUACUCUUUCAAUUAUGUUAGUAAUCAUAGUAGGUGAAUUUCUUAAUUCUUGAUAGAGCUCAUCUUAAAAAUAAUAAUAGCAUUGGCAUUUUUUAAUCUGAGUGGUUAAUAUAUUGAUAUGAAUGCUAGCUGGACUUGUAUUUCUAACUUAAUACGAAAAUGAUUUGGAUUAUGCAUUUUGUUUCCAUUUAUUUAUUUAUUUUGUAGUAGCCCUAGAUAAAUUGUAUGUAUAUGAAGAUUGAAGGUGCCUUAAAAAAAAGAGACAUGAAUAGCAAUUUUCUCAAAAAAGGACGAAGGUGGUCAAAUGGUGUACUUUUAAGUGAAUUUACAGCUGUGCUAGAUUAGCUUUGUCUCCUUUAUUCAAUAGAAUUUGCAGUUGUGGUCCAUUCUGUGUCACACUUUUACAGUCUUCCAAAAUUCCAUGGCUGUGACUGUAUUAUUUGUCUAUGACUAUUCGACCACCAAGAUAACAUUUUUCACUAUACUUAUUACCCAAAAAGAGUAAUGUUACAACACAUCUGGCUGUGUGUAUGUGAUGUCUGAAAAACUCUAUAUGCGAUAUAGAUGCAGCCGAAUACUGUAUCUUAAUAUUAAAUUGAACCGUAUCUUAAAAAACUCUAUACUUAAAUUGAAUUGUAACUUUAUGUAUGUAGGCAUUACGCAAAAUAUUAUUUCGAAUGACAAAGGCACAAAUUUUUACCUGAAUGCAAUAACUCAUUUUCACUUCACAUGUUAUAUGUCUCAUUUCACAAAACAAGGACAAAGUUUUGUUCAAAAGACCUAUAAUAUAUGAGUUUUGUAGUAGAUCUACUAACAUACAAAACAUGAACAAUAACUUGUUUGCAUUGAAUUUUUUUUUUUCAUUUUUUUCCUUUUGUUGCAGAGCUACUACAAUGUCUAUGGAGGGGCAGCUGCUCAGUAUCCCAUGUAUGGCAAUGGCCAUGCAGCAGGAGGGAUGAUGACCGGUGGAGCAGCCGCUGCCGCUGCCGCUGCUUACUACCCUUAUCUUCAAUUUGGAGAAGGAACCGGAGCAGCCACCACCGGCUACACUUCCGGCCAAGGCUACGGCGUCCAGUACCCACACCACCUGUUUCCAUACUCCACCAUCAAUGCCGCUGCCGGUUACCCGCAGCACUAUGGUCCCCCUAUGUCUAUUGCUCCUACACCUGCCUUGCAAUCAGGUUUGUACCAUAUGUACAAUUUUACUCUUUACGAUUCAUCUCUAAAAUUUUUUGAAGUUAACAAAUAGUAGUGUUUUUCUUUUUUUCCUCCUAGAAAUCAAGGUUUGGAAACACAUCAUCAAACACACUUUUAACUAUUUUCUAUUUUCAAAGUAAAAUAUAAAUGAUUUAUUGAGAAAUUACACCAUAAUAUGAGUAAUGUUAAACUCUAAAUUAUUUUGUUUAUAUUAUAUCUAUAGUUGAUUUACAUUCGUGUAUGUUUGAAAGAGAGUUACUAACAUCUUUGACAGUGUGUUUUGCUGUGCCACAGGCGUGACCAAUAUGGCUCUGCAUGCUCCACCAAUUCCACAUCGCUAGAGUCAAUGAAUCUCUCAAAUCAUUCUCCUUCAGUUUCAAAUAUGUAUUCAGCUGCAUGCAAUCUCUGAAGAAACAAAACCUUUGGCCUAACCAUGGUUCUCUCUUUCACCUCUCUCUCUAACACAAAAUGCCCAAUUUGCAUGGCAUCAAAUGGGCAUUUUUGCACACAAAAGCCCCCCAUAGGGGCUGGAAAACAAAAAAAACCCACCUCCAAAAAAAAAUUUGGAUGGUCAUGCAUCUUUUUUUUUUCGUAAAAGGGUUCCUUGAAAGAGAACCAAAAAGCUUUUUUGUACCAAAUUACCAACUCAAGCUGUUGUGGAUGAUCAGCUUGUAUUUGGGAACAGUUUAAUUUUCUGUAAAUCCUUAGCCCUGGAAAUGCUAAGUUGAAAAAAAAAUAUCAUUUUAUAACUUUAAUUUAGCCUAGGGAAAAGGCUAAUAAAAUGGAAACCGGUUUGCAAAAAUUGUAAAUUGAACAAAAAGAUAGCAAACCUCUGGUUUUAGAUAUGGCUAAUGAACCUCUGGAGAAAGAGGCAGUUUUAGCAAAAAUCAAAAGGGCAUGGGAUAUGCCCAAAGUUUUUUUUGUGCAUUAACAUGUAGUCUUAGGGUUUUAGAACUAGGACCAUGUAGCAACUAGGGCAGCAGUACUCAUGUUUUUAGAAGUUUUUUUUCCCCCAACUUUCACUUAAAUCUUACAUUUUUUUUUUUAAACCAACAAAUCAAUUUCUUCCCUUUGGGUAAGGGGAGAAAAUGUUUUACUAACACUUUUAGCUUAUUUUCGUUUCUUGUAAAUUCAUUGUGGCUAAAACUUUUGGAGUAUUAGCAACAAAACACUAAACUGUAGGAGGGUACAUUUUUAUUUGCAUUUAGUUACUUUUCAAGAACUCCAUCAAUGGAUGUGGAGCUCAAAUGCAUAUGCAUGCAUGUAAUCCUUGGGAUAUAUUUUGGUUCCCUUGGAUUCUUCUUUUCUAAUUAACCCCACCAACCAUGGUUAGGACUUAGGUCACAUCUCUCUCUCUCUUUUUCUCAAUCCCUCUAUUCUCUCUUUAUGAUCUCGGUUGAACUUUUACUUGGAGA
RNAcentral lists this long non-coding RNA (20832 nucleotides) under Citrus x clementina. Its description in RNAcentral is "Citrus clementina (C. clementina) long non-coding RNA (CCLE_LNC004246)". Lineage: Eukaryota; Viridiplantae; Streptophyta; Magnoliopsida; Sapindales; Rutaceae. The record is from RNAcentral.